Molecule: non-coding RNA, 780 nt
Filed under: Ochthebius plesiotypus
Lineage: Eukaryota; Metazoa; Arthropoda; Insecta; Coleoptera; Hydraenidae
Source: RNAcentral
AAAAAGUUUUAUUUUAGCUUAAAAUAUUAAUUAAUUUUUUUUUUACAUGUAAGUUCAAGCUUUUUAUAUAAUUUAUUUAAAAAAUAAAUUAUUUGUAAUUAUUCGCAGUUUUUAAAUUUUUAAAUAUAAGAAAUUAAGAUAAAGGAAUAAAUUUUAGUAUUAACAAAAUUUGUGCCAGCAGUUGCGGUUAUACAAUUAAUACAAUUAAUAAUUAUUAGUGUGUAAUUAAUUGAUUUAAUUAAAAAUAAAUUAUUAAUUUAUUAAGUGAAAUUUUAAAUUAAUUUAAUUUUUUAAUAAAUUUUAUGAAGUUACUAAAUUUUAUAUUAAACUAGGAUUAGAUACCCUAUUAUUUUAAAUGUAAAUGUUUAAACUAUAUUAUUGUUAGUUAUGAUCUUUAAAAUUAAAAAUUUUGGCGGUAUUUUAGUCUUUUCAGAGGAACCUGUUCUAUAAUCGAUAUUCCACGAUUUUUUUUACUUUUUUUAUUAGUUUAUAUAUCAUCGUAGUUUGAAUAUUUUAUAAGAAUUAAAAUAUUCAAUAUUUAUAUUUAUAAAUAAAUUCAGAUCAAGGUAUAGCUUAUAAAAAAGAAGAAAUGGGUUACAAUAAUUUUAAUUAUACGAAUAAAUAAUUUUAAAAAUAUUUUAAAGGUGGAUUUGAAAGUAAUAUAAUUAAUUUAAGUUAUAUGAUUUUAGCUCUAAAAUAUGCACAUAUCGCCCGUCGCUUUCAUUUAAUAUGGAAUAAGUCGUAACAAAGUAGGUGUACUGGAAAGUGUACCUAGAAUUA